CCUGAAGCCGGUGGGCCAACCCUUCGGGGAGGCAGCCGUCGAGGGUGGGGUGGGUGAUUGGGACGAAGUCGUAACAAGGUAGCCGUAGCGGAAGCUGCGGCUGGAUCACCUCCUUU
RNAcentral lists this ribosomal RNA (116 nucleotides) under Actinomycetota bacterium. RNAcentral describes it as "partial 16S ribosomal RNA". It matches the Rfam family "Bacterial small subunit ribosomal RNA", at positions 1420 to 1533 of the family's 1533-position model. The record is from RNAcentral. Lineage: Bacteria; Bacillati; Actinomycetota.